CAACUUUGACAGGUCGGGACGCGAAAGUUUGUAGAUGAAGGAGUGAGGGAGUAAUUAUGCGAGGGAGUCUGUGUUGAGUUUUUGUUAUUUUCUCACUAAUUCAUUAUGACGCUCGGGGGGCGGCGCAAGGCAGGGUCCAGCGGGGGGACCUCGUCCGCGGCGCCCCACCUCCCCGCCCUCCUGCCCAGCUCCCAGGGCAUCACCACCGCCAGCGGCAUCACCAGACACACCCUCCAGCAGCUCCUCAUCACCACGGAGGAGGUGCUCGUCGCUCCACAGCCGCGGCGGCGAGGGCGGGGGCGCGGCAGGCUGGGCGGCGCUGGGCUGAAGACACCCUCCUCCGCUGGGCUGUCGAGGCUGGGAAGGACCCCCGCCACACAGGGGGUACGGGAGGGUAGCGGCCGGACCUCCCUCGCUCUCAACCACUCCAUGCGGCCACUCACUAAGCAGAAGAAG
Long non-coding RNA from Eriocheir sinensis (Chinese mitten crab), 456 nucleotides. RefSeq lists it as uncharacterized. The transcript is spliced from 4 exons. The record is from RefSeq and is a predicted model, not a curated record. Lineage: Eukaryota; Metazoa; Arthropoda; Malacostraca; Decapoda; Varunidae.